GCUCCACCCCCUCGGGUUUGUCCUGGGAAGGGUUUGGCGGGGGGCCGGCCCUCCGGCCCUCCGGCCCUCUGCUGCCCGAGGGUUCCUCGCAGGCUGGAGCUGACGGCACUGGAGCGCGUGGUACGAAUCUCAGCCAAGCCCACCAAGCGGCUGCAGGAGGCGCUGCAGCCCAUUCUGGAGAAGCACGGCUUGAGCCCGCUAGAGGUGGCGCUGCACCGGCCCGGCGAGAAACAGCCUCUGGAUCUGGGGAAGCUAGUGAGCUCGGUGGCGGCCCAGAGACUGGUUUUGGACACUCUUCCAGGUGUGAAGAUCUCCAAAGCCCGUGACAAAUCUCCCUGCCGCAGCCAGGUGAGCGAAAGGCGAGUGGCCUCUUCCACCCUCUGCUUCUCCUCUCCCGAUUUUGGCUCUGACCCCGUAUUCUCGCAGGGCUGCCCACCUAGAACUCAGGACAAGGCCACCCAUCCCCCUCCAGCGUCCCCCAGUUCUCUGGUGAAGGUGCCCAGUAGUGCCACUGGAAAGCGGCAGACCUGUGACAUCGAAGGCCUGGUGGAGCUGCUGAACCGGGUGCAGAGCAGCGGGGCCCACGACCAGAGGGGCCUUCUGAGGAAAGAGGACCUGGUACUUCCAGAAUUUCUGCAGCUGCCCGCCCAAGGGUCCAGCUCCCAGGAGACCCCACCACAGACCGAAUCAGCAGCCCAGCCCAUCGGGGGAUCCUUGAACUCCACCACCGACUCAGCCCUCUGACAGCUACCCAACAGUCCAGGACAGCUGCAUGGCACCCGGCGGGCCGAGCAUGCCAUGGGUCCGCUCUGCAUGCCCUGUCUGUGCCAUGAGUGUCCCUGGCCCCUUCCUGCCAUGGGCAGGCCCGCAGGAAGAGCUGGUAGGGGUGGAAAGGGGACUCAGAUGAGACACACCCCACAGCUGCCACCGCCUUGUCCCUCAACAAGCUCACCCCCAAUCC
This 961-nucleotide small RNA is filed under the name Pan troglodytes (chimpanzee). RNAcentral's name for it is "retained intron". Lineage: Eukaryota; Metazoa; Chordata; Mammalia; Primates; Hominidae. The record is from RNAcentral.